This 26-nucleotide non-coding RNA is filed under the name Mus musculus (house mouse). Lineage: Eukaryota; Metazoa; Chordata; Mammalia; Rodentia; Muridae. The record is from RNAcentral.
UGUUAAAGAGAAGCAGACUCCACAAA